UACGGAGGGUGCAAGCGUUAUCCGGAUUCACUGGGUUUAAAGGGUGCGCAGGCGGCCUAUUAAGUCAGAGGUGAAAGCCCACGGCUCAACCGUGGAAUAGCCUUUGAAACUGCUAGGCUUGAGUACAGUUGAAGCGGGUGGAAUGUAUCAUGUAGCGGUGAAAUGCUUAGAUAUGAUACAGAACACCGAUUGCGAAGGCAGCUCGCUAAACUGUAACUGACGCUCAGGCACGAAAGCGUGGGUAGCAAACAGG
This 253-nucleotide unclassified non-coding RNA is filed under the name uncultured Chitinophagales bacterium. RNAcentral describes it as "contains 16S-23S intergenic spacer region". It matches the Rfam family "Bacterial small subunit ribosomal RNA", at positions 524 to 776 of the family's 1533-position model. Lineage: Bacteria; Pseudomonadati; Bacteroidota; Chitinophagia; Chitinophagales. The record is from RNAcentral.